UCUCCUUUGAGGGUCGUCAUAGACGAUGACGUUGAUAGGAGGCAGGUGUAAAGAUGGUGACAUCAAAGCCGAGCCUUACUAAUUGCCCGAAACUUUCCGUAUG
Molecule: ribosomal RNA, 103 nt
Filed under: Candidatus Physcousia equi
Lineage: Bacteria; Pseudomonadati; Bacteroidota; Bacteroidia; Bacteroidales; Paludibacteraceae
Description: partial 23S ribosomal RNA
Rfam family: Bacterial large subunit ribosomal RNA
Source: RNAcentral